RNAcentral lists this long non-coding RNA (1692 nucleotides) under Medicago truncatula (barrel medic). RNAcentral describes it as "lncRNA gene14915". The record is from RNAcentral. Lineage: Eukaryota; Viridiplantae; Streptophyta; Magnoliopsida; Fabales; Fabaceae.
GUGCUCAUGUUUGUCUUCAAUAGUAUGUUUGUCCUCAAUGGUACAGAUCCAGUUUUCAUGCUAUGUAAUAUUAUUAUAUGGAGUUGGACCUCAAGAUUGUUUUAAGGUAUAUGAUUCAUUUUUAAUGUCUUGGAAUGAUGCACGUGAAUCAAUUUUGGCAUACAAUAUUAGCAUAAUAUUUCAGACAUAUUUAAGCAUCGUUUUAGGCAUAUUUUAACAUGCUACUUCAUUAUAAGAUUUGAAGUUUCUUUCCUUCCAAAUUAUGGAUUAUGUGAAAUAAGGAUUAAUAUUAAACCGAGUGCACAUGAAAGCAUGGUUUGUAAUUUAUUUCUAAAUGACCUUAUAAGAGUUUUGGUUAAAACAGAUUUAUGUCUUUCUGGAUCAUGAAUUCAGCGUUAUCAUGAACUCAGUUUGGCCUAAUGAUUUUAUAUUUUUAUUAUAUAGUUUGAUUUCUUUUGAAAUUAAAAUUGAUUCACUGAAUUUGUACAUAAAGUUAAUUUUGAGAAAUAGACAAACAGAGUUAAUAUAUAUUUGGUUCUCAUAUAUUAUUUAUAAAAUUUAUUGUCUCUUUUGAAUAGUGUUUAACAACACAUCUCAGAAUAUUAUAUGGAGUCUAGAGCUGUUUGUAUAAAGAAUUGUAUUACAUGAUUUAAAGAUUUGAUUCUUCUAGCUUUGGAAAAUAUGGAGUCUAGAGCUGUUCUCAUAAAGAAUUGUAUUACAUGAUUUAAAGAUUUGAUUCUUCUAGCUUUGGAAAAUAUGGAGUCUAGAGCUGUUUGUUUAUUUUUUUUAAGCAUAUAAAGAUUUGUCAUACACACAUUGGUGUGAUUUGUGACUUUCAUUUUUUAACAUGAAAAGUGUAAUAAAUUGUCUUCUUCUACGUGAAUUUAGGAUCUUGGGGAAAUAUAAAACACUGUUUUAGGAGGAAUCUUACGUAAAUCUAGAAAGAUAAUAUAAUAACAAUACACACACGUAAAUCUAGAAAGAUAAUACUCCCUCCCUAAUUAUAAGAUCCUUUUGAGAAUUUUUUUUGUCCCUUUUUAUAAGACCCCUUUGUUAUUUCCAACUACAUUAAUUAUUUCUUUACAUACAUGCCCCUAUUUAUUAUACAUCUUUUUCUUCAAUCAGCAAUAAGUAGCAUAUGGAAAACAUAAACUAACUCUCUAUCUUAAAGAUAAAAUUGUAAAAACAAUAGUGAUUACAAACAACUUUAAUACAAAUAUCCGUUUUCUUAAUUCCCGUGAUUUUAGCAAAAGGGUCUUAUAAUUAGGGAUGGAGGGAGUAUAAAACAUGUUUUAGGAGGAAUCUUACGUAAAUCUAAAAAGAUAAUAUAAUAAAGAUUAGAGUGUGUAAUUCAAACAUCUUUUAAGAGUGGGAGCGUAAUUUACUCUUAUAAAAAACAAAAAUAGAUUGAAAUUGAUUAGUUUUUAACAUGAAAAGUGUAAUAAAUUGUUGGUGCCUUUAACUUAACUUCUGAUCCGUGAAUUUAGGAUCUUGGGGAAGGUGAAGUUUAAUAUGGGAAAAGAAAGUUCUAUCCCAUGAUGGGAAAGUUCAACCACAACCAUAGAUAAAAUAAUUUUUUAUGUGGAUGGCUAGGAUCAAUUACCUGCUAAUGGCUAUUACUUUUUGUUGUGUAUUGUGCAUCAAAAAUGUGGACCCCAUGAGGCUGAUUUAAUAACAUAUUUUCAUUUGUUU